Molecule: long non-coding RNA, 12161 nt
Filed under: Coffea arabica (coffee)
Lineage: Eukaryota; Viridiplantae; Streptophyta; Magnoliopsida; Gentianales; Rubiaceae
Description: long non-coding RNA (CARA_LNC003463)
Source: RNAcentral
GCCAACCUUUGACAAUUACUUCCCGUCGCCAGCCAUGUGCUGGCAACAUUCGUUUUUUAUCCCUUGUCGCCAGCCAUGCGCUGGCAGCUUUUCCUCCAUUUUUUUUCUUGGUUGUGUUGCUCUAGCAAUGCUUAGCAACAUUUUCUUUAUAACUUUCCAACAAUUUGAUAAACCCUAUUCAUCUCUAUGAUUGAAAUUUAAUACCCUAAUCCUACUAAUCCAAACCCAAAUCUUCCUAAAUUUCUCAUGCAAGCAUAAAUAUAUCUCGAUGUACAUAUACCUGAAAUUUUCAAAAUAAUUCAUGGAAUUAAAUAGACAUAAGAGAAAAAGAAUUUUAGCGUGCGUUCGAAACUUAUAGGUCCAAGCGUUUAAUCGUCUGCUUGUUCGACGACGAUAUCCUCUUCUUCUCCUUUACUCUAGGGGAGGCAGACGAAAGAAAGAUAUGGAUGGUGUUAUUUUUUUUUUCUCUCUAUUGUUUUGAUAAAACUCUAAACCCUAGCACUACCCACUAGUAGGUGGUUUAGAUAAGCGUUUUAAUUUAUUAUGAACUCUUAUCUCCUUACUAACCCCUAAUUACUCCUCUACCCUAUCCUACUAAUAAGUUUUAUAUAUUAUUUUUUUUCAUACCCAUAGUAAUUUUAUCUUUUUAAUUAAUUGACAAAAAUCAAGUAAUAAAAAAAAUGAGCAAGGAUGUGGGAUUUUACAUUCUACCCCCUUACAAAAAGUUUCAUCCUCGAAACUUACGUACCUUGAUAAAAAAGAUAGGGGUAUCUAUUAUGCAUGUCCUCCUCCAAUUCCCACGUUGCCUCUAGCGAUGUAUGGUUCGUCCAUUGCACCUUGAUGUAGGAUAUGGUCCUUCUCCUUAGAAUUUGAUCCUUUCGGUCCACGAUUCUUAAAGGAACUUCCCCCACUGAUAAGUUCUCCCUCACUUCGAUGGGUUGAUCCUCCAAAAUAUGGCUCGGGUUUGAUACAUACUUCCUCAGUUGGGAGAUAUGAAAAACAUUAUGUAUCCUUGACAAAGAAGGUAGGAGAGCCAAUUGGUACGCUAGAGGUCCAACUCUAUCUAGUAUUUCGUAAGGCCCUACAUACCUCAGAGUUAACUUGCCACUUGUUCCAAAUCUCAUCACUCCUUUGGUAGGGGAUACUUUCAAAUAUACCUUUUCUCCUAGUUGAAACUCUAAAGGUCUUUUCUUUGAAUCUGCCCAACUUUUGUUUCGGUUUUGAACUACUUUUAGUCUUUCUCAAGCAAUCUUAAUUUUCUCCAAGGUUCUUUCCACUAAAUCGAGAAUAGUGAUCGACUUCUCACCUACUUCAUCCCAAUAUAAGGGGGAUCUACACUUUCGUCCAUACAAUGCUCAAACGGUGCCAUACUAUACCGCUAUAAUAACUAUUAUUGUACGAGAACUCCAUUAGUUUCACCAACCUAUCCUAAUUAUCCGAGAAGUCUAGAGCACAAGUUCUGAGCAUGUCCUGCAGUAUCUGUAGGGUCAUUUUCGACUAUCUAUCCGUUUGGGGGUAGAAGGUGGUACUAAAUCUCAGGUGAGUCCCCAUAAUAUCUUGGUAGGUCGACCAAAAAUCUAGACGUGAUUUAGGAUCCCAAUUCGACACUUUCGCAACUUAUUUUUAGACUAGAUAUCACAUUCUCUCCCCCUUUAAAGGUUUUGUUCUCGAAACCUAAAAAACAUAAAUAUCAAAAUAAGUUAACAAAAUUUUCAAUGUUCUUGCAACACAUCUUGGGAAUUAUUCCUAUAAUAUCUAAAUUGGAUUUCCUUAUUUAAUUUCAUCAAACUUCUGCUACGCACUCUUAUUUUUUUCUCAAUACCUCCCAUCUUGAUAUUUAUAUAGUUCAGAUGGACAUAAUGUCUCUCACAAAUCUGGCAUUCGAAAUAUCAGUUUAUAAUACUCCAUAGAGAUCAACCUUUAUAAAGGAUGUCAUAAACAUUAACAGUAUCAUUUCUUCUUUUGACACACAUUCUAUCACAACUUAUUCUCACAAAAAGUAGUCAUUACCUCGAUAUAUGGGUUCGUGCCCAUUGUGUUUGUAAUUGGUAAUGGAGAUUUCUUGUUUUCCUCAAAUCUCAUUUCAAAUUCCAAAAAAAAAGAUCAAUAAUACCUCAAAUAGCAUCAUACCUAUUUCCAGAUCCUAUAAACUGAGUUGUUGUACCACUAAAUGCCACGGAAAUCUUAUUUCCUUCAUUUUUUUACCUCAAUUCAAUUUUCAAAACACAUAUUCAUAUUAUGGUACCAAAACACACAAAAUUUCAUACAACAAUUAUCGCCAAAUUCUCAUAUUUGAAUAUAAUAACUUUACCAUAACUUUAGUAAAGUAUUUAUCUAUGCAUAAAAUUUCGAACUCAUACAAGUUUAGGAACCUGAAAAUGUUUGAAACACAUGAGUUAGUUAAUUGUGCUUCUUGCACCAUUAGAACUUAGAGUAUGAAGAAAAUUUAUCAAGAAUUAUUGUUAGAUUAUUUCUAUAUGAUAUGAUUUUUUUUAAUGUAGAAUACAUUUAUCUAUAGCUCUUUUUGAGAUUAGAUGAGUAUUAUAAAAACAUUUUGUUCAGGUUUAUAAGAUACAAUUAUUUAUGGUGUUUAUUCUUUUGUUAUUGUUAAUUUAUGUAUCUUAAUGUAUUCAUAUUUAUAGAAAUUAUACUUAUUUGAUAAAUAUACUUAUUCAAAAAUCUUGAUUAACAUUUGUUCGCAAAAUAAUUUUUUUAAGAUAAGAACUAUGUAAGAUUUUGUAUUCUAAGAAAUUUCUAACAUAUUUAUUGACUAAGCACGAUGUAAUAAUCCAAUAAACUAGUUCAAUAAUUGUUUGGGCAUUGGAUCUAAUCAUUAUAAAUCUCAAAAAGAGACAAGUCUAUUCGCUUUUGACCACAUCUCCCACCGAAGGAAUACUACUGGUAGACUAUAUCAAUUUGUAUUUGAUAAGGCCAUACACCUAUUAGUUAUCUCCAGUAGUAGUAAUAGUUCAACUAGAUUAAAAUAGUAGCAACAUCAAUAGUACAUCUAUCCAGGUAAGAGCAUUAUUUAUAGAACUCGAUUACAAAUAGAAAAGAUCUGCAACAUUUCAUUCUUCAUCUUUUGAAGUGGUUUCAUCGGUCAAGAUAAGUCAAUAUAACCUCUAAUGUCGUUGUUACCCAUCGUGCAAUUAAUCCCAUACUACUUAAACUGGAUCUCUUUAUUUAAUUCAUCACGCUUGCUGCGUACUUUAAUUUCUUGAUACUUUUAAUUUCCUGUAGACACUACUUCAAAUAUAUAUCAUAUUUCCUACACAUCCGACAUCUUAAACUUACAAUGUACUACCAAAAUCAUAUACAAUUAAAGGAACAUCCUAAACACCAAUAGUACCAUUUCAACUUAAAUCACAUAUGCAAAUUUUCAAACCUAUUUAUUCAGUCACAAUUGAUCAUUUCCUAGUAUGUAUUUUCUCUAAAGAGUAAAUCGUACCCCAAGCUCAGUUAUCACUAAUAUUAUGGAAAUCUCUUAUUUCACAAUAUUCUAUCCAAUUUCAUUCCAAUUCCUAAAAUCACACAUAUUACAAACAUCGUUCAACAUACAUCUAGAUCGCAUAACCUAAACUUUGAUAAUAUUAAAAAUUACAAGAAUCUCUUAUUUCCUUUAAUCCUUUUUGUCUUUUCAUCUCAUUUCAAUACUCAAUACCCCUAAUAUCUCAAACACCAUUCAUAUACUUUCAGAUCAUAUAACCUAGGCUCUGAUACCACUAAAAAAUGUCAUAGGAAUCUCUUAUUUCCUUUGACCUGUUUUCCAUCUCCUUUCAAUUUCCAAAAUCAUUAAUAUCCAAAUAUCAUUUCUCAUACUCUCAGACCAUAUAACCUAGGCUCUAAUACCACUAUCCCGCGCGCACCCGUCACGUGGCAUCCGCCGUAUUCUCAAGUCUCACUCAAGAAUACAAGGAAACAUUUAACCAGACUAAACUUUAAAAGUACUAAAUGAUAUAACUAAAUAAAGUGCGGUACAAAGAUCAUAUAAAAGGUAGUCUAUGAAUACCCGAUAAAUUCGUACAUUUAUUCUCUAGUUGAAACAACGGAAACAGAGUAAAUAAAAUUAACAACUAGAAGUAGCUAGCUUGCUAAUUUCUGUUCACUUAAAAACUAAUAAAAGUCAUCCUCAGGGUCUUCUACGUAAAUCAACUUAUACUCUUCAGAAUCGGCAAAGAUGGUAAAAAGUGGGGUGAGCGACAAAUCGUUCAGUACAUAAUAUCUACCCCUUUGUUGGAUCAUGCACUCAUAACUUUAUAGAUACAUGUAUAGAUAUAAAUCAAAUCAUUUACACCUCGUUCACAUCCAUAAUCAUGAAAGUAACGUUGUUUAUAAAACCGUUAGUAGUAAUGAGUGAUAAGCAAUUUAAAAGUAUCUUAUUGAUAACUAUACAUGAAAAAUCAUAAAGUCGUAAAUUAUUUCAUAUCAAUUCAUAAGUCCCUUCAUAUCAGUUCAUAAAUCAUUUCAUAUCAACUCAUAAUAAGUACAUGUAAUGACUGGCUAUUGAGUACUCAGUUUAGAGAUUAAACCCCUUCUAGGUGGGCAACCAAUAGGUUUCAUGACUACCAAUUGUUCUCAUUACAUACAUGGGUCAAUCGGCCGGAUUCUAUACCAGACUAUCAUGACCUUGUCAAUCGGCCAAACUUUAUACCAGGCUACCAUGACCAUUAGACAGGACUAUAGCCUCUACCAUCUAUCCCGUGAUUGUUUUGAGCUUUUCUUUACACAAAUUCAUUUCACACGUCAUAUGCAUAGUUCUUGAUUUCAUAAAAAAUACAGCUCAGUUGGUAUAUAAUAAAAUAUCAAGAAGUUUCAAAUAAGUCACAUGGUCCAUUUUUGUAUAAUCAAAAUAGAAUUUGCUUAAACAGUCAAGUAAAUUAUUCAAUCAAAAACAAUUCAGAUUAACACGUAAAAAUAUAAUCGAUGACAAAAAUUUUCCUUUAAAUUUUUGAAAUCUCAGAAGGGUAGGUAUCACCUACCUUUGUCUGGCUGCUCGAGUGGAACUACUUUAGAUUUUUUAAAUUUGUGUCGUAGCUAUCAAACACAUAGGUUUCCUAAUUAGUUGACAUUUCCUAUAGAUGUAUACAUAUACAAACUCUGAGCAAGUCGAAGAUUCAUGUCUAGACCAUUAUAUGAACCCUAACAGCAUUUUUCUAAAUUGAAUGAUUUCUAUUUUUGGAAAGUUUUUAUUUUUAGAAAGUUUCUUAAUUUGGAAAGUUUUCCUUUUUGUAAAGUUUCCUAAUUUAAAAGAAAAUAAUUAUUCAUAAUUAUAUUUAUUAUAUUGACUAUUAUCUUACUAUACAUAUUUAUAAUUUAUUUUUAUUCAUUAUUACUAUUAUCGUCCUUGUUGUUGUUACUUUAUUUUAUUACCUUAUUUUAUUUCUUACUAUACAUAUAUACAUACAUAUAUAUAUUUGUUAAUUAGUUACCAUUAUCUUGCGCUUUACCUCCAUUUUUUUGUGCAUGUGUAGGUGUUAUUAUUAUUUAUGUAUAUAUGUACAUUGAUUUAUUAUUUACCAUUAUUAUUACUAUCAUUGUUUUAUUAAUUAUUAUUAGUAUUAUUAUUAUUAUCAUUAUUACUGGUAUUAUCAUUAUCAUUAUUAUUAUUAUUAUUAUUUUUUAAGCGUUUCAUUUAACAAUCUAGAACUUAUCUUACAUUGUCUAAAUUAAUCUAAUAAGACUAGAUUAAGAUGUUUUAAAUUUCUAUUUAAGUUUCUUAGACUUAAUCAAUUAAGCAUAAUUUUACAUGACUAACUUUUCAAUUCUAACAACUACUUUAAAUUUGGUCCUGAAUUUUAAUACCCACGAUAAACUAUAAAGAUGGGGUAUUUAUAUUUAAAAUUUAUUUAUAGUACAUUUACUAAAUUUUACAUUAUGUUUUGGUCCACUUCUAUUUGCCAUUUUUUUUCCUAGACUCUGACCCCAAUUGACAGUGACAGAACGAUAGCAGCGGUGACCAGCCACUAUUUUACCUAAUUUUUUUUUCUUACUUCCUUUUGGCCAACCCAUGAAAUCAAGCAAUAGCCGCCAGCAAUUGCUGGUGACCUUCUACCCCUUUUUUUUCUUAGGUUGGCCGAAAAGCCAACCUUUGACUCGCUAGCCAUGCGCUGGCGACAUUCGUUUUCUUUUUUUUUUUUGGCACUCAGCCAACCCUUUUCCCAUGUUGCAAGCCAUGCGCUGGCGGCUUUUUGUCCCUUUUUUUUUCUUGGCUGCGUUGCUCCAGCAACGCUUAGCAAAACAGCAGCGGCGGCGUCUCUGUUUUUUUUUUUUUUUUUUAACUUUCCAACAAUUUGAUAAACCCUAUUCAUCCCCAUGAUUGAAAUUUAAUACCGCAAUCCUACUAAUCCAAACCUAAAUCUUCCUAAAUUUCUCAUGCAGGCAUAAAUAUAUCUCGAUGUACAUAUACCCGAAAUUUUCAAAAUAAUUCAUGGAAUUAAAUAGAUGUAAGAGAAAAAGAAUUUUAGUGUGCAUUUAGAACUUACAGGUUUAAGCGUUUAAUUGUCUACUUGUUUGACGGCGAUGUCUUCUUCUUCUCCUCUACUUUUAGUUGAUUCUUGCUCUAGGGAGGCAGACGAAAGAAAGUAGGGAUGGUGUUAUUUUUUCUCUCUCUCUAUUAUUUUGAUAAAACUCUAAACCCUAGCACUAUCUGUGACGGCCCCACCUUCCCCUAAGGCGAACCAAAGGGUUCGGCGGACUGCCUGCCUAACUCUCGCCGGGACUCAGUCAUUCACCUCAAGGAAUUGAAGAUAAAAUUUACAAAACAAGCAAAUAACGAUCCCAAACUUAAAACAUAAACUUAUAUGCAUUCCUAUCUCCAAAGGAAUUACAAAAUUUAAAUAUACAAAGGUUUCCAAUUUCUCAUACAUCCAACCCUUGCCAAGUGCUAGGGUGAGAACCAUUACAAAAGAAUUCAAAGAACUAGACUAAGUUAGUCUAUACAGAGCUCUCGUCCUUGUUCGCAUCUCCUGUUAAGGAAAACAAAAUUAACGGAAUGAGCUAAAAGCUCAGUGAGGUUCCAAACACAUAAACAAACAAUGAGUUCAAUACAUUGACCAUAGAUAGCAAGUAAUUCAAGAAACAUGACAACAUAAAGCAAUAAUAACAUUCAUCAAAAGGAUACGUGCUCACAUGGAGCCAUUCAUUCAUUCAUUCAUUCUCCUUUCAUUUCCUUAUUCCUCCAAUCGUUUGAAAAUGCAUUUGAUAAGUAAAACCCUUCAUUUACAUUGACAUUCAUUCAUUCAUUUCAUUUCACCCCCUCCUGGACGUUGGUCAGGCUCCACCAGACUACAAGGUAAUACUCGAGUAUACCAAACAUUCACUCAGGGUCACUAAAUCGCCCGAUCGAGUCCACUUCUGGCUCGAGUCGAUCAGUAACGAAGGGCAAGGCCCAGUUCAGCCAAGAGGCUUACAUUCAUGCACAUAUAAUCAUUCAAUCAUUGAAAAUUUCACAUUCAUUUAGGUCGAGUGCGAUAAAGUACACACUCGCCUAGAAAGCUCAUUUUAAGCAAUCAGUGGAAGCAUUUAAUAUGUUAGCAUUCAUUCAUAACAAGUCAUAUAAUCAAGAACAAGCCACAUAGUCAAUGAAAAUAUAGCCAACAAGGAACACUUACCUAUUUAAGCAAAAUAGCGUCCAAAGUAUCCUUCCGGAUAACACCCUCAAUCACCAAAGAACUCUAAUAUAAUCAAAAGAACACAUUAUGCUUCAACCAUCAAAGAUUUAAGUGAUUCAAAGAAAAUUUGAAUACGUACUAGUACAAGGUAUAAAUAUGAUUUUGGUAGUGAAAAGAGUACAUUUAAACCAAAGGACAUAAGUAAAAUAUUUGUAAAACCUAUGCUCACUCGUAAAACUUUAAAAUCUCCAUUUGAGUCGAAGUGACAAAGAAAACGUAUUUCUAUUAGUCGUAAAUUUUAUUUUUCUAAGGGUACAAGUUUCGGCCAAGUUCUAACUUAUAUAUCUCAAUAAAAAAAAUGCAAAUAUCCUAAAUGGUUCAAGUGGUAUUCGUUCUCAAAUUCUUACGCAAGUCGCAAGUAUAUCUACCUGGUUCAAGCCCUUUGUAUUUACCUAUUUUCCAGCCAUUUAUGAUUUCAUUCUUUUCCACAAUCAGCCCCAAAGUUAUACACAAAAUUAUCUCAUUUCAAUAGCCGUUCAAUAGGCUCAAAGUCAUACAAGUACAAAAUCAAACUAGGAAAAUAUCCGGAAAUGAAGUUUAAGUUAUAAAAUAAAAGACAGAUUUGCCGUUGCUUAGCGUAACGGGUACAACCAAAGCUACGCUUAUCGGAUUGGGGUGAAAUUUAUACCGUUUUGAAGUUAGGACAAAGGCCUACAACUUUUAUGAAGACCACUCAGUCCAGUUUGUAGUGUAUCUAAGUCAAAGUUGCCAUUUACAGAACCAGAAUCUCACAUUCAGGCUAGUUAACCGCACUAUGCGUAACCGACAAUAACUCAGGCUACCGAAGUCCGAUUAAGGUGUUUUUAGGGCCGUUGGAAAGCUAAGACAUAUUACUACAACUUUCAUGUUUUGGAUAAAUACUAGUUCAGUACAUAUCAUGGUGAAAAGACACGGCCAGAUUGGUGAAAUAUCCAAAACGGAUCACUGGAUUCACCUAGGGCAGUCAGGGUAUUUUGGUCUUUUCAUAGGCUAUGUUACUCCGAUUGAGAUGAAAUUUUGCAGGAAACUAUAAAACAUCAUUCUCUACAACUUUUAUAUUUUAGGCUAAGCCUAAUUCGGCCUCUAACAUGGUGAAUUAGAACCGGGCAGAACAGGGUAUACCUUAACUUCAAUUCUGGAAAUUUGCUACAAUCAAGGUAUAAAUCUCAUUUUUAGCUUGAAACCAUCACUACCACCUCUUAUACCAACUUAUAUACAUCAUAUACCACCCAUACAACAAGUAUGAUAAGUGAAUCAUUCAAACCCUAACUCAAAUUCAUCACCCCAACCAUCUAAAAUCACUUGAUAUAAGCAUUACAACCACAAAUACAAGCUACUAAGCAACUCCAACAUGAUUAAGGAAAAAGAAAAGAGUGGUCAGCCAUAUUACCUCAAAAACAAAGCUUGCUUUCUCCCAAAAUAGCUCCACUCCAGCCCACCUUUCUUCCUUGUGGUAACUUCUUAUGAAUUGGUUUUUGGAUUAGAGAGUGAUUUCCUACUAGUUAUAGCUUGGAAUCAAGGUGAAAUUGGAGCAGUUUUUCUUUCUUUUGUUAUCUUGAAGGUUCGGCCAAGAGAGAUCAAAAUGAGGGAUGGUUGGUGAAAUUUGCAAGAUAAGGACUAGAAGUUUCAUUGGUCAAAGAAUGCCUUGACAAUGUCAACCCUUGGCUUUCCCUCAAUUGUCCUUUAUUUUGGCUUCUUUUCCUUUCUUUUCUAGUCAAGGAUUUCGGCUACCCUUAGCUAAAAUGGAAUCAGAAUUUCGGCCAUCCUUAGCUGAAAUGAAAUCAAGAAUUUUGGUUGAAAUGGAAACUUACUCCAAAGUACUCCAAAGUAAAGACAAGACUAAUGUUAGUCAAGAUCUUGGUCCAAAGUUAGGUAGUUGAUUGAGACUUGUGAAGACAAGACAUAAUGUCUAUUUAUUGACCAAAAUAUCUCUUCUUUUCUCCUUCAAGAAUCGGCCAAGACAAGGAAGAAGUGAAGGAAAAAUGGUGAUGAAAAUGAUAGCUUAGUCUUAGUCAAGUUUUUGUCAAACUUUGUAGGCUUGUUGACCAUUGGCAAUAAAAUGAGAAAUGUCUAUCCCUUUGUCUCCCUUAUUUAUUUAUUUUUUUUAGUAUUUCUAAUCACAUACUUAAUAUCAUCUAAAAUUCACUAUUAAUCACCAAAUUUUAUCGCAUUAGUGGGUCCCACGUCUAUAAUGCGUUUCAAAUUUGACAUACACUAACUCAUACUAGGAAAAUGAUUUUAAAACUGUACUUGCCUGUAAAAAUGCAUAGAAAUUUUAAUAUUUCCAAGGAAAGUAUAAAAUGUAGGCAAAGAAAUAAAAUAAUGUUGAGAAAAUAUGAAAAUUUUUGGGUUCCACACUCUCUCCCCCUUAAGAAAUUUCGUCCUCGAAAUUUUUACCUUCCGUUGCCUCAAAUGACCCCGGAACUUGUUGCUAGUCUACGGCAUAAACCUGUGCUGGUAUUUUCAUUCGGUUCCCUCUUUCAUUAGUUUGUUUUGAUUUGAUUCCUUCCACUUGUUGCGUACUACUCUCUCGUGGCUGUUCCUUCGAGCAAGUGCUAAGUUGAUGAUUGCUAAUCCCACAAAUCAAACACUUUCCCCCUUUUCACCAGCAAUCAUUCUCAGUGUGAUUUGCCUUUCCACAGUAUCCACAUGCCAAUCGAGGAGCUACUGUUUGACCUUCUCGAGAAAUUUCCUUUGAUUCGAUCUGACUUCCUUUCGUAAACCCUUCAUCUAAUGCUCCUAAUGUCCAUGGUGGGUAGGGUAAAGGGUUCACUUUCUGCACUUUGGAAGGUGCUAUCGAUUCACUUGGUUCCUCAGUCACACUACCAGGUGCACCCCUUUUCCGAGUUUGGGAGGCUUUUAUCUGUGCCUUCGCAGCCUCAAUUCUUUGGGCUUUCUCAAGGGCUUCCGUGAAAGUAUUAACUUGAAUCGCCGCUAGAGCUUCUUGAAUUUCUAAAUUCAAUCCCUGUAUAAACCGCUCACCCUUCUUUGUUCCGUGGCCACUAAUUCGGAAGCAAACUUAGACAAUUUGGUAAAUUUCGUUUCAUAUUCGGCCACACUUUGAGUUCCUUGGCGUAAUCCAAUAAACUCAUCCUCCCUCCUUUCUUGGACUAAAGGUGGGAGAUACUUUUCGUUAAAUUCUCUUAAGAAGUUAGCCCAUGUCCAUACGGUUUGUUCUCUUUCCCACUUUGCCUUAAUCACGUUCCACCAUGCUCGGGCCGGUCCUUCAAAUUGAAAUAUCGCAAAGUUCACUUGUCUUUGUUCGUAUAGUUUAAAACUGUAAAGAUGUUGAUCAUGACCUCCAACCACUGUUCAUCUAUGUCCGGAUCAGGCCCUCCAAGGAAUUUCGGAGGGACAAAUUUUUGAAACCUCUCAAGAGCCCGAUCUUCUCCUAUCUCAGGGUUCUAGGAUUGAUUCACAGGCAUUUGACCUUGUUGGUCCACCAAUCUUGCUAAAAUAUUUGUCAUUUGUUGUAUAGCCGUCGCCAUUUGGUCCCUGGCUUCAACCCUCGUUCCUCGUUCUAGCUCAGCUAUUGUUUCCCUUUUGUCUCUUGGCUCUAGAGCUCGCUUAGUCCCACGACUACGACCACGACCACGACCACGUCCACGUCUCCCUUCCAUACCCUUUUCUCUCUCUCUCUCUCUCUCUCUUUUCUUUUUCAAAAGUAAUUUAAUGGAUAAACGGAGUAAAUUAACUAAAAUAACAAAUUCGAACACACCAAUUAUACAAAUAAACAUAAACACGACAUGAUACAACAUAUACACAAAGAGACAUAUCAAGUUCAACAGAUAAUCAAAAGUAGUCAAUAUUACACAGGUAACAUACCACAAACAAAAGUCAUGUAAUAACAUUACAAGGGCCAAUCAAAAGAAAAGGCGAUAUAUCAUCCCAUACGCAGUUAAGAUAACCCCGUCCGGUCUCUCACAUCACUUUCUAUUCAAACUAAACGUCCGUUGACUUCUUGUACUCAUUCUAGUCAAACAAAGCCUGUUAAUGUUUCCAAACUGCAAGUUUUAAGCACUUAGUACCGCUUCAACUCUGGAGUACUCGGGCACUAGAAUCCGAAAUAAAAUAAUUCACAUCUCGAGCUGGCCAGUCCCAAGAGUAAACUAUUUACAAUCGAGAUUCCUAUCUGACAUACCUAUCAAUGGUCCUCAAAUACUGGGAGAAAGAUUUAAGACCUAUAACAAUUCAUGACUCCAUAGUUUAAGCUCAACGAGCACUUAAUCCUUCAUACUCAUUCACCACUUAACCCGAUCUCACUCCGCGCAGAGACCACGCGAAACAGGCUCUGAUACCAACUGUGACGGCCCCACCUUCCCCUAAGGCAAACCAAAGGAUUUGGCGGACCGCCUGCCCAACUCUCGUUGGAACUCAGUCAUUCACCUCAAGGAAUUGAAGAUAAAAUUUACAAAACAAGCGAAUAACGAUCCCAAACUUAAAACAUAAACUUAUAUACAUUCCAAUCUCCAAAGAAAUUACAAAAUUUAAAUAUACAAAGGUUCCCAAUUU